UACGGAGGGUGCAAGCGUUAAUCGGAAUUACUGGGCGUAAAGCGCGCGUAGGCGGCUGGAUAAGUCGAUUGUGAAAGCCUUGGGCUCAACCUGAGAAUUGCAGUCGAGACUGUUCGGCUAGAGUGUGGUAGGGGAGACUGGAAUUCCUGGUGUAGCGGUGAAAUGCGCAGAUAUCAGGAGGAACACCGAUGGCGAAGGCAGGUCUCUGGGCCAAUACUGACGCUGAGAAGCGAAAGCGUGGGGAGCGAACAGG
This 253-nucleotide ribosomal RNA is filed under the name uncultured bacterium. RNAcentral describes it as "partial 16S ribosomal RNA". It matches the Rfam family "Bacterial small subunit ribosomal RNA", at positions 524 to 776 of the family's 1533-position model. The record is from RNAcentral.